This 724-nucleotide long non-coding RNA is filed under the name Cricetulus griseus (Chinese hamster). RNAcentral describes it as "lncRNA (ENSCGRG00015039168.1)". Lineage: Eukaryota; Metazoa; Chordata; Mammalia; Rodentia; Cricetidae. The record is from RNAcentral.
UGUUAGACCCCCGAAAACUCAAGUAUCCGGGGUCUCAGGCCAGGUUCGCGGUCACCCCAAUCACCAGGCGGAUUCGAGAGCUUGCUGCAAACUGCACGAGGCUUUAUUGUAAUUUAACGAACUAACCCCAUGUUAGCUCGGGCCAGGUUCGCGGUCACCCAAUCACCAGGCGGAUUCGAGAGCUUGCUGCAAACUGCACGAGGCUUUAUUGUAAUUUAACGAACUAACCCCAUGUUAGCUCGGGUCUUUCACCCACCCGCCAUGGCAGACGGCUAGAAAAAGACGGCUCCUAAGGUCUCCCCAAAGAUCUUAUAGGGCAGCGUAAGGGGAGUGUCUAGGGGUACGCACAGGCUCAUGAUUGGUGUGCCUCCAGGCUUGGAGGGCUUGCCCUGUGUUGAUUGGCCAACUGGUUGUUAUGGCCCAUAGGCCCUCCCAGGGUGGUUGCUAUGCUCUGUGUGUCAUUGCUGUGCACUUGUCCGUAAAGCACACCCAGAGCCGUAAAGCAUAGCGCCACCAGCUAACUUCUGAUUGGUUCCUUGCCACGAGGCAGGCGCAUCUGACUUCUAGUGACCAAGACAAGGUCAUGGCAAGCACAUGUUACUGUCAUGGCUGCCGAAAUGAGAAGCUGGUCCCUUCAGAAGGCACAUCUGUUAGUUAGUACACAUCUGUAAUUUCAUCACCUGAAAGGCAGAGACAGGAGGAUCCAUCCACAAAAGUUCUAGAC